AGAGUUUGAUCCUGGCUCAGGAUGAACGCUAGCGGCAGGCUUAACACAUGCAAGUCGAGGGGCAGCGGGGAGGAAGCUUGCUUUCUCCGCCGGCGACCGGCGCACGGGUGAGUAACACGUAUGCAACCUGCCCUGUCAGGGGGACAACCCGCCGAAAGGCGGGCUAAACCCGCGUACAUGCCACCGGGGCAUCCCGGAGGCAGGAAAGGCUUCGGCCGGACAGGGAUGGGCAUGCGGCGCAUUAGGCAGUAGGCGGGGUAACGGCCCACCUAACCGACGAUGCGUAGGGGUUCUGAGAGGAAGGUCCCCCACACUGGUACUGAGACACGGACCAGACUCCUACGGGAGGCAGCAGUGAGGAAUAUUGGUCAAUGGUCGGGAGACUGAACCAGCCAAGCCGCGUGAGGGAGGAAGGUACAGAGUAUCGUAAACCUCUUUUGUCAGGGAACAAAGGCGGGGACGUGUCCCCGGAUGAGUGUACCUGAAGAAAAAGCAUCGGCUAACUCCGUGCCAGCAGCCGCGGUAAUACGGAGGAUGCGAGCGUUAUCCGGAUUUAUUGGGUUUAAAGGGUGCGCAGGCGGUCUGUUAAGUCAGCGGUCAAAGCCCGGGGCUCAACCCCGGCCCGCCGUUGAAACUGGCAGUCUCGAGUUGGAGAGAAGUAUGCGGAAUGCGCGGUGUAGCGGUGAAAUGCAUAGAUAUCGCGCAGAACUCCGAUUGCGAAGGCAGCAUGCCGGCUCCACACUGACGCUGAGGCACGAAAGCGUGGGUAUCGAACAGGAUUAGAUACCCUGGUAGUCCACGCAGUAAACGAUGAAUGCUGGCUGUCCGGGGGGACUGACCCCUGGGUGGCGAAGCGAAAGCGAUAAGCAUUCCACCUGGGGAGUACGCCGGCAACGGUGAAACUCAAAGGAAUUGACGGGGGCCCGCACAAGCGGAGGAACAUGUGGUUUAAUUCGAUGAUACGCGAGGAACCUUACCCGGGCUCAAACGGGGAGUGACUCAGGCAGAGACGCCUGUUUCCCACGGGACACUCCCCGAGGUGCUGCAUGGUUGUCGUCAGCUCGUGCCGUGAGGUGUCGGCUUAAGUGCCAUAACGAGCGCAACCCCCGCGUGCAGUUGCUAACAGAUAACGCUGAGGACUCUGCACGGACUGCCGGCGCAAGCCGCGAGGAAGGCGGGGAUGACGUCAAAUCAGCACGGCCCUUACGUCCGGGGCGACACACGUGUUACAAUGGGUGGUACAGCGGGAAGCCAGGCGGCGACGCCGAGCGGAACCCGAAAUCCACUCUCAGUUCGGAUCGGAGUCUGCAACCCGACUCCGUGAAGCUGGAUUCGCUAGUAAUCGCGCAUCAGCCAUGGCGCGGUGAAUACGUACCCGGGCCUUGCACACACCGCCCGUCA
This 1401-nucleotide ribosomal RNA is filed under the name uncultured bacterium. Its description in RNAcentral is "16S ribosomal RNA". It matches the Rfam family "Bacterial small subunit ribosomal RNA". The record is from RNAcentral.